CCCCGCUUAGCUCAGCCUGGUAGAGCAAUCGGCUGUAACCCGAUGUGUCGCUGGUUCAAAUCCGGCAGCGGGGA
Molecule: transfer RNA, 74 nt
Filed under: Candidatus Woesearchaeota archaeon
Lineage: Archaea; Nanobdellati; Candidatus Woesearchaeota
Description: tRNA-Tyr
Rfam family: tRNA
About the family: Transfer RNA (tRNA) molecules are approximately 80 nucleotides in length. Their secondary structure includes four short double-helical elements and three loops (D, anti-codon, and T loops).
Source: RNAcentral